AUGAACGCUGGCGGCGUGCCUAAUACAUGCAAGUCGAGCGAACAGAUGAGGAGCUUGCUCCUCUGACGUUAGCGGCGGACGGGUGAGUAACACGUGGAUAACCUACCUAUAAGACUGGGAUAACUUCGGGAAACCGGAGCUAAUACCGGAUAAUAUAUUGAACCGCAUGGUUCAAUAGUGAAAGACGGUUUUGCUGUCACUUAUAGAUGGAUCCGCGCCGCAUUAGCUAGUUGGUAAGGUAACGGCUUACCAAGGCAACGAUGCGUAGCCGACCUGAGAGGGUGAUCGGCCACACUGGAACUGAGACACGGUCCAGACUCCUACGGGAGGCAGCAGUAGGGAAUCUUCCGCAAUGGGCGAAAGCCUGACGGAGCAACGCCGCGUGAGUGAUGAAGGUCUUCGGAUCGUAAAACUCUGUUAUUAGGGAAGAACAAAUGUGUAAGUAACUAUGCACGUCUUGACGGUACCUAAUCAGAAAGACACGGCUAACUACGUG
Molecule: ribosomal RNA, 496 nt
Filed under: uncultured bacterium
Lineage: Bacteria
Description: partial 16S ribosomal RNA
Rfam family: Bacterial small subunit ribosomal RNA
Source: RNAcentral